GGGGAUACCAUGGCAACCAGAAAUAAAACCCAGUGGCUAUAGACAGCUACUUCGGUAGGGGUGAAGUCUAUAAAGGUUCCUUAAAGCCACAAGUCAUCGAUGGCAUCGAACCAGUCCUGAAUGGAGGAGAUUGUUGGUAUCAGGCACUGGUCUUGUAACAGAGAUUCUAGGAAGUAUUGGAAGCGUUGCCUUGACAUGGUGUCACCAGCACCUGAAGAAAAUCAGAGCGAACAAAAACAGGAUGAAGAUAAAAAUUAAUGCAAAGGUCAGUUUUUGGCAGGAGUUCCAUGUUGGGGGACUGACAGAGAAGAGGCCGAGGGCCAUGAGAAGGCUUAAAAGGACAUAAAGGCUCAAAAAUCCAGAAUGGCAGGCUAAGAGGUCCUCCGGGCUCAUUGUCUCCUGCUGUCCAUGUCCGUUGCAUUCCAUCGUGCCUGGUAGUAAGCUUCAGCACUGAGUGAGCUGUUCUCUUAAAGAUGUUGGGGGUUCAUCGGUCAUCAGAGGCUGGUAGUGCCUAAGCAGAAGCUGGUUGAAAGUUUGAUUAGAAAUUUUCUGGAAUUGUGUUUGAAGGAACUUCAUUAUGCAGGGCAAGAGAGAGCAAAAAAGGAGCAUCCCAAUAAGGGGCCCCAAGAAAUGUAGCAAGUAUGUGGCGAGAGAGGAUUGGAAGAACCCCGUUAUGGGAUUAGGGGAGGUGGGUUUGAGCAAUUGGGUCGAUAAUUCCUGCAAUUUAACAACAUUCUUUUCUAUUAGCCCAGACUCAUUAACAUAGUAGCAACAUUCCUCUCUGAGGAACAGGCAUGUACCCCCUUUUUCUGCAGUGAGGAGAUCAAUCACCCUUCGGUUCUGU
Molecule: long non-coding RNA, 844 nt
Filed under: Marmota monax (woodchuck)
Lineage: Eukaryota; Metazoa; Chordata; Mammalia; Rodentia; Sciuridae
Source: RNAcentral